AAAUUGAAGAGUUUGAUCAUGGCUCAGAUUGAACGCUGGCGGCAGGCCUAACACAUGCAAGUCGAACGGUAACAGGAAGCAGCUUGCUGCUUCGCUGACGAGUGGCGGACGGGUGAGUAAUGUCUGGGAAACUGCCUGAUGGAGGGGGAUAACUACUGGAAACGGUGGCUAAUACCGCAUAACGUCGCAAGACCAAAGAGGGGGACCUUCGGGCCUCUUGCCAUCAGAUGUGCCCAGAUGGGAUUAGCUUGUUGGUGAGGUAACGGCUCACCAAGGCGACGAUCCCUAGCUGGUCUGAGAGGAUGACCAGCCACACUGGAACUGAGACACGGUCCAGACUCCUACGGGAGGCAGCAGUGGGGAAUAUUGCACAAUGGGCGCAAGCCUGAUGCAGCCAUGCCGCGUGUAUGAAGAAGGCCUUCGGGUUGUAAAGUACUUUCAGCGGGGAGGAAGGUGUUGUGGUUAAUAACCGCAGCAAUUGACGUUACCCGCAGAAGAAGCACCGGCUAACUCCGUGCCAGCAGCCGCGGUAAUACGGAGGGUGCAAGCGUUAAUCGGAAUUACUGGGCGUAAAGCGCACGCAGGCGGUCUGUCAAGUCGGAUGUGAAAUCCCCGGGCUCAACCUGGGAACUGCAUUCGAAACUGGCAGGCUUGAGUCUUGUAGAGGGGGGUAGAAUUCCAGGUGUAGCGGUGAAAUGCGUAGAGAUCUGGAGGAAUACCGGUGGCGAAGGCGGCCCCCUGGACAAAGACUGACGCUCAGGUGCGAAAGCGUGGGGAGCAAACAGGAUUAGAUACCCUGGUAGUCCACGCCGUAAACGAUGUCUACUUGGAGGUUGUGCCCUUGAGGCGUGGCUUCCGGAGCUAACGCGUUAAGUAGACCGCCUGGGGAGUACGGCCGCAAGGUUAAAACUCAAAUGAAUUGACGGGGGCCCGCACAAGCGGUGGAGCAUGUGGUUUAAUUCGAUGCAACGCGAAGAACCUUACCUGGUCUUGACAUCCACAGAAGAAUCCAGAGAUGGAUUUGUGCCUUCGGGAACUGUGAGACAGGUGCUGCAUGGCUGUCGUCAGCUCGUGUUGUGAAAUGUUGGGUUAAGUCCCGCAACGAGCGCAACCCUUAUCCUUUGUUGCCAGCGGUUAGGCCGGGAACUCAAAGGAGACUGCCAGUGAUAAACUGGAGGAAGGUGGGGAUGACGUCAAGUCAUCAUGGCCCUUACGACCAGGGCUACACACGUGCUACAAUGGCGCAUACAAAGAGAAGCGACCUCGCGAGAGCAAGCGGACCUCAUAAAGUGCGUCGUAGUCCGGAUUGAGUCUGCAACUCGACUCCAUGAAGUCGGAAUCGCUAGUAAUCGUGGAUCAGAAUGCCACGGUGAAUACGUUCCCGGGCCUUGUACACACCGCCCGUCACACCAUGGGAGUGGGUUGCAAAAGAAGUAGGUAGCUUAACCUUCGGGAGGGCGCUUACCACUUUGUGAUUCAUGACUGGGGUGAAGUCGUAACAAGGUAACCGUAGGGGAACCUGCGGUUGGAUCACCUCCUUACCUUAAAGAA
This 1551-nucleotide ribosomal RNA is filed under the name Salmonella enterica. RNAcentral's name for it is "bacterial SSU rRNA". It matches the Rfam family "Bacterial small subunit ribosomal RNA". The record is from RNAcentral. Lineage: Bacteria; Pseudomonadati; Pseudomonadota; Gammaproteobacteria; Enterobacterales; Enterobacteriaceae.